UACGUAGGGUGCGAGCGUUAAUCGGAAUUACUGGGCGUAAAGCGUGCGCAGGCGGUUGUGCAAGACAGAUGUGAAAUCCCCGGGCUUAACCUGGGAAUUGCAUUUGUGACUGCACGGCUAGAGUGUGUCAGAGGGGGGUAGAAUUCCACGUGUAGCAGUGAAAUGCGUAGAUAUGUGGAGGAAUACCGAUGGCGAAGGCAGCCCCCUGGGAUAACACUGACGCUCAUGCACGAAAGCGUGGGGAGCAAACAGG
This 253-nucleotide ribosomal RNA is filed under the name uncultured bacterium. Its description in RNAcentral is "partial 16S ribosomal RNA". It matches the Rfam family "Bacterial small subunit ribosomal RNA", at positions 524 to 776 of the family's 1533-position model. The record is from RNAcentral.